This 404-nucleotide ribosomal RNA is filed under the name uncultured Colpodella. Its description in RNAcentral is "partial small subunit ribosomal RNA". It matches the Rfam family "Eukaryotic small subunit ribosomal RNA", at positions 30 to 432 of the family's 1831-position model. Lineage: Eukaryota; Colpodellaceae. The record is from RNAcentral.
GCUUGUCUCAAAGAUUAAGCCAUGCAUGUCUAAGUAUAAGCACCCUUAUACUGCGAAACUGCGUACAGCUCAUUAUAUCAGCAAUUAUUUAUUUGAUGGUCACUCACUACUUGGAUAACCGUGGUAAUUCUAGAGCUAAUACAUGCGUCAAGACCCGACUUUUUGGAAGGGUUGUAUUUAUUAGAUAAAGAACCAAUCCAUGCUUGCAUGGUUUUGUGGUGAUUCAUAAUAACUGAUCGAAUCGCAUGCCUUCGGGCGGCGAUGUAUCAUUCAAGUUUCUGACCUAUCAGCUUCCGACGGUAGGGUAUUGGCCUACCGUGGCAAUGACGGGUAACGGGGAAUUAGGGUUCGAUUCCGGAGAGGGAGCCUGAGAAACGGCUACCACAUCUAAGGAAGGCAGCAGG